This is a long non-coding RNA of Cygnus olor (mute swan), 157 nucleotides long. RefSeq lists it as uncharacterized. Lineage: Eukaryota; Metazoa; Chordata; Aves; Anseriformes; Anatidae. The transcript is spliced from 2 exons. The record is from RefSeq and is a predicted model, not a curated record.
GCAGGCCCCUACUAUGUACAAGCAGCUCCCAACAUCCCCCAGACGCAAGCCCCAGAAGUUGUACAAGCAGCUCCCAACUACCCCCCAGAUGCAGAUCCCUACAUUGUACAAGCAGCUCUCAACACCCCCAGAUGCAAGCAGCUCCAAACUCCCCCCC